RNAcentral lists this ribosomal RNA (253 nucleotides) under uncultured bacterium. RNAcentral describes it as "partial 16S ribosomal RNA". It matches the Rfam family "Bacterial small subunit ribosomal RNA", at positions 524 to 776 of the family's 1533-position model. The record is from RNAcentral.
UACGGGGGGGGCAAGCGUUGUUCGGAAUUACGGGGCGUAAAGGGUUCGUAGGUGGCCAACUAAGCCAGACGUGAAAUCCCUCAGCUUAACUGGGGAACUGCGUCUGGGACUGGAUGGCUUGAGUGCAGGAGAGGAACGCGGAAUUCCAGGUGUAGCGGUGAAAUGCGUAGAUAUCUGGAGGAACACCGGUGGCGAAGGCGGCGUUCUGGACUGCAACUGACACUGAGGAACGAAAGCCAGGGGAGCAAACGGG